Octopus sinensis (East Asian common octopus) is the source of this 710-nucleotide long non-coding RNA. RefSeq lists it as uncharacterized. The record is from RefSeq and is a predicted model, not a curated record. The transcript has 2 exons. NCBI's taxonomy places the organism in Eukaryota, Metazoa, Mollusca, Cephalopoda, Octopoda, Octopodidae.
AAGUCAUGGAAGAGACAGGCAGACAGAUGGAUAGAUGAACAGUGAGAGAUAGAUAGAUAGAUAGAUAGAUAGAUAGAUAGAUAGAUAGAAAAAGAAGUGGAAGGUAUUAAAAGGAAGUGGGAGGUAUGAAAAGGAAGUGGGAGGUAUGGAAAGGAUGUGGGCGGUAUUAAAAGGAAGUGGGAGGCAUGAAAAGGAAGUGGGAGGUAUUUAAAGAAAGUGGGAGGUAUUAAAAGGAAGUGGGAAGUAUGGAAAGGAUGUGGGCGGUAUUAAAAGGAAGUGGGAGGCAUGAAAAGGAAGUGGGAGGUAUUAACAGGAAGUGGGAGGUAUUAAAAGGAUGUGGGCGGUAUUAAAAGGAAGUGGGAGGCAUGAAAAGGAAGUGGGAGGUAUUUAAAGGAAGUGGGAGGUAUUAAAAGGAAGUGGGAAGUAUGGAAAGGAUGUGGGCGGUAUUAAAAGGAAGUGGGAGGUAUUAAAAGGAAGUGGGAAGUAUGGAAAGGAAGUGGGAGGUAUGGAAAGGAUGUGGGAGGCAUGGAAAGGAUGUGGGCGGUAUUAAAAGGAAGUGGGAGGCAUGAAAAGGAAGUGGGAGGUAUUAAAAGGAUGUGGGCGGUAUUAAAAGGAAGUGGGAGGUAUGGAAAGGAUGUGGGCGGUAUUAAAAGGAAGUGGGAGGUAUGGAAAGGAUGUGGGCGGUAUUAAAAGGAAGUGGGAGGUAUGAA